This is a long non-coding RNA of Homarus americanus (American lobster), 502 nucleotides long. RefSeq lists it as uncharacterized. The transcript has 4 exons. The record is from RefSeq and is a predicted model, not a curated record. Lineage: Eukaryota; Metazoa; Arthropoda; Malacostraca; Decapoda; Nephropidae.
GGUGGGUGGGUGGCGCGCGCAUCAGGUCUUGGCGAGUGUGGCGGUGACUGUGUUACUGGUGCGCUUCACAACCUGUGCUCUUAUAUCGCCCCCCACAACCACCAAAGUGUUUUCUGUGUGUGCCUCGUGUUCCCCUAAGGCCAUGCCUAACAAGGGAAAUAACAAGAGACGCACUGAUGAUGGAAUACGAGCAUUUCCAAAACCCAAAGGCAGUAUGGCGGACAAGAAGCCCAGCCAAGACCGGUUCAAACAACAGUCUAAGGAGAAGGAACAGAAAGACCAAAAGGAGGAGAAACCCAAGGAAAAGGAUAAAAAGUAAUUGGAGAAGAUGUGUUUCAGGGUAUCGGACUACUUCUACACGUCUCACAACAUUAAACUGCAAGUGCGUCUCCUCCACCUUCUCUAAAAUUACCAGUAACUGUCCUUCCCGUCAUCAAGUGCUUCAAGAAGCUUUCCUCUUCGUCAACUAAUGCUUCAAUCAACACUCCAUCAUGGAUCCCUA